GCCUCCAUAAUCUUGAGAAAAAGCUAUUCAUUGUAUCUUAAUUUUUAUUUUUAUAUCUCUCCUAAAAUUACUCUGAUCUUCGAUGUGGAACAAUCAAUCCAGCUGAAGGUGGUUGGGAUGAUAGAGAAAAAAAAAAAAGAGUUCGAAGCAAAAGGGUUGGAGUCCGAUAAUACUUAUAGGCUGACACUUAGCCAUUAUUUAUUUGAAGUCCGAUGAUGCUUAUA
Molecule: long non-coding RNA, 224 nt
Filed under: Elaeis guineensis (African oil palm)
Lineage: Eukaryota; Viridiplantae; Streptophyta; Magnoliopsida; Arecales; Arecaceae
Description: long non-coding RNA (EGUI_LNC002151)
Source: RNAcentral